This is a long non-coding RNA of Cylas formicarius (sweet potato weevil), 8791 nucleotides long. RefSeq lists it as uncharacterized. Lineage: Eukaryota; Metazoa; Arthropoda; Insecta; Coleoptera; Brentidae. The transcript has 5 exons. The record is from RefSeq and is a predicted model, not a curated record.
AACAUACCAUUUCACCAGAAAUGGCCCAAGGCGUUUAACACAUGGUAUUUACCAGAGAAAAAGCAACCAAUUUUUCUCUGUAUACACAAUCAUUCUAAGCUUAUAAAACAUUUAUUUAGGUAGUAAAGUGCUGACCGUUUUGAGAAUUAAAUUUUUGUUUAAAUAUGAGGUUUUGCUAGUAAAUCCAUCAAGGAAAUGCUAGCAUUUAGUAGUCUUGGACAGUCAAGGCGACAUGAGCAACACCAAUGUUGUCUGAUUACUAUUUUUCCGAUUUAACCAAAAAAAAAACCUCCAUGCAGGUUUUGCUUUGAAGAUUUAAGCUGGACCUGGCAACUAGCAUCAAAGAAUUGGGUCUUGUAUCUUGCGGAUGAAGUCAAAGCAGCCAACUGUUCCAACGGAAAUUUGAAGUAAUUGAAAACAGGAUGAUAUCUAUUAGUUAUUUAUACCAAACUUAUGGAAACCGGCAAGAAACUGUUGUUUAAGCUCUAUGAAUAGAGAACUUCCAGUUGCUGUUUUUCUGAAGUUUCUAAUUAGUUACAAGGAUGACAUAUUUUGGGUGUUAUGUCAAAUAAUGGCACCACUAUUUGAUGCUGCUAAUAGGGAAUUUUAAAGUAAAACCAAAACUAACCAAGGCUUUGUGUUUAAGAUCAGGACUUUGGCAAAGCAUACCGCUUGUUUAUCUGGCUGAGCUUUGGCUACUUGAAAAUUGAUAGAGCGCUUGAAAGAUGAGGUGAAAGAGUAUUGGUGUGUCAGCAUGGAGAAGUUCUUUGUAGUUCCUACCAAGUUCGCCAUGAAGAAAUUGCAAGGUCAUUUGAACAGAUGGGUCAUUUUUAAGUGGAUUGGAAGUCAUGACUUUCAUAAUUGGCCCUCGGGAUCCCUGGACACCACUGAACUUUUUAUGGCUGUGGCUUCCAGCCAACCACACCGGAUAUAUGCGUAUUAUAGACGCGUUUGAUACUGUAACCUCGCAAAUGAUGUCCAGUGUCAGCACUAAUCAACAUUCGAGAAUUUAUUAUUAUGUCGGGGUCACCGUCUCACUUCCUCAGUGGAAUGCUCUCCGCCUGACGAAAUAUUGAUCCAGCAUUCGUCACUGCACACUAAUGUCGGACGUUUCUGAGCCAUGAAUGUUGUUUUCUUCAUGAAGGAGAAGGGUCGGGGUGGAGUAGCGAGCACCUCUCAGUAUGUGGCCACGGUAUGAUAAUGCUUUGUUUUGCACUUUUGUUUGUUUAUUGCACGCGUUGGUUUUAAUCAUCUUUUAACUCUUCAUACUAGAAUUUGCACCAAUAGCAGUACCAGGGAAAGUCAUUAAUGCAGUCAUAAAAUAUUUAAAAUUUUCAUAAGAUCCACUAAACAGGCAUUACAGCAGAACCAGACCAAAUUGAAUAAAUGCAAUUAAUUGUCCGCCAAAUCUGAAUACUUUCCUAACACUGUUCGAUAGGUAAUAAAUUAAAUUAAAAAAACAUAUUUUAUUUUUAUCAGAUUAGAAUAUAUUUUUGGCCAUCUCAUUGGAAGAUUUUUUUCACAGCUGAAUUAUAAAAUAUGGUUAUGUUUACAGUUGACUGUAGGUUUUGCUUACAUACUUCUGUAUUUGCGUAAUUCAAAUUAGGUUACAUGUUGACAAAAUUUAAAUUUAUUAAAGAAAUUUUAAGGUUCAGUUAUAUGGCCACUUGUGAUGAGUAUGUAAUAAGAAGAUAGUAAUAUGAGACAUAUGCUUAUUCUGCUGCUUUAAUAAUAUAAAUACGCGCUCUAAUCGUAGGAUAAGACAGUCUUAAAGUCGCUUUGCAGUAGUAAUUAUUGUGUUACUUGUGUUUUAUUUUUAAAUGCGAAAUCCGUUGGAAGUAGUGUACCGGAUCGCCCUUGCGAAUCGAUAGUGAUUUGUGCGCUGGAUUACCCUUUUAUUGUCAGUGCCUUGGAUCGACGGUACGACACGCUUCCGUUUCAAUGGUUAAAGAAAGGAUUACAGAUCUACAUGGCAGAGCACUUGGGACUCCUGGUACCAUAGACUAUCGGUACGCCGUUCGAGAGCCAGCAGGACGAAUUGUUGUAACCCAGCGUCCACUACAACCAAUACCUCACUUGGGAAGUGAAUCUCACCGACGAACGUGUUGGUUGAUACAGAAACGAAACUAUGAACCUAUUGUAAGUUUUUACUGAAUUGUGUUCCUUACAGUUGUGAUUCCUGUUAGUUAAGAAGCAAAAAUUUUAAAUUUGUUGGUGAAAAUUUGAUGAAAAAAUUUAGAAAUAGAUUAUCGGAUAUUACUUAUGCUCGAAGAAAUAAUUCUACAAAUAAUCAACCGCGAGAUAUAGACGAACUUUACUCUAAUAUUUCUUUAUUAUAUUGUAUAGCCGAAAAUAAUUCUACUUUUGUAAAUACUAGUCUAGAAACCGAAACUGUUAGUGCAAUGGCCGACGCUUUGAGAUCAACCGUUAGUUUGCUAAAAACCUUUGAUGGUACCCCUUCUCGUUUGGAUUAUUUAAUUAAAUAAAUCGACACUUUUCGUGCAAGGUAUUUUAAUAACGAUGUAUCGCAACAAGAAUACGUUAUUUUGGCAAUUAAAUCAAAAAUACUAGGAACAGCAAAGAUUUUUUAUUAACUCGACCAGACCUUACAACUUGGGUCGAGAUAAGAUUAGAGUUGAGAACGUUACUUAUAGUUCAAAAUCCUCAAAAUCUAGAUAAUGCUAUUGACAUUAUUACAAGUUACGAAAUUCUUACAAGUCAAAGUCAGUUUAGAAAUAAUUAUUUACAAAAUAAUAACCUAAUGCGGCACAAUAUAUAGAAACCAAUCAUUCAUAUUUUGUCCAACACCCAAAGAGUAUUUAACAGCCCACCAAUUCAACUCUAUAGUCAAUCGAAUUUACCUUUCAAUCCCCUCAUCAAAUGUCACAUCAAAAUCAAUUCUUCAAGCCACAAAAUCAAUUUUUCAAACCGCAGAAUCAAUUCUUUAAGCGACAAAACCAAUUUUUCAGGCAACCCUUUCAGCAACUCCACACCUCUAAUCAAAACAACACCCAGAACUCAAAAAAUCAAUAGCCCCAACCAAUGUCAGGUGUAAGUAUACAACCUAAAAAGCCAUUUUCUCAAAUAAGACCACAAUACAAUAAUUUCCAAAAACAGCGACAUUAACCCCGAAACUAACGAAACGCAAGCCGAUUUAACCGACCUUAACGAAUACGAUUAUUACUGUUAUUACGACCCAAACUACGAAAAUGUUGAACAGUUCAAAAAAGAAAAUAGCAUCGUUGAUCAAUUAGAAAAUUUUCAGUCAGUAGACUCGGACCAAGCAAACCCUGUUUAACCCUAAAUAGUUUUCAAAUAAAACAGUUACCCUACGUCGAAGUCCCUAACCAUCAAAUCCGUUUACUUAUCGAUACAGGUUCCAAUGCAUCUCUUCUUAGACCCUCUUUAGCAGAAACUUAGUUUUCCGAAUUAAUUAAACCUUACGUAAAUACCCUUCAAACAUGUGCAGGUUCAAACAAAGCUACACAUAAAGCAACUAUCCCAUUAUUUACUUGCUUUGGUAUCACCGAACCGAUUGAAUUUAUUCUUUACCCAUUUCAUGAAUAUUUUGACGGUAUUUUAGGAAUUAAAGAUCUUUGUAAACUAAAUCUAAAUAUUGAUUUAAAGAAUACGAAGUUAAAAGCCAUUAUAUAGAAAUUCCCUUUCAAUAUAGAACAAAUUUCGACGACUACGUAGUAGAAAUUCCCCCACCCCAAAAACUAUACAAAAAGCAACACUUAGGACUAAUCUACCCAAUAAUAAUAACCUAAUAAUACGACAUGGAUAAUGCCCUACUAUCGUGAAGAUGAAAUUGAAAUACAAGCAACCCUUGUUACGAUUACAAAUAAUUCCUAUACUAUCGAUAUAUUUAAUCAUUCGAAGGUAGCGUUAAUAAUAACUUACUUUUAAAACCAUUUGAACUUAACAACUUUGAAAUAUUUAAUUUAGAAACACCAGUUCUGAAUAGUCCAACGAUAGAAAAAAUGAUAUUGGAAAUUUAAUACCACACGAUCAUCUAAAUUCGAAGGAGAAGGAACAGCCUUUUAAAUUCAUAAGAACAUUCGGAGUUACUUUAACUUUUGCAAAUGAAGUAAAACACACAAUUAAAACUAGCGACGAAAUUCCCGUACAUGCGAAACAAGAAGUCAAUAGACAAAAAGAAGAAAUGUUACAGGAAGGAAUAAUUCAACCCUCAAGUUUCACUUGGAAUUCACCAGUGUGGAUUGUACCAAAGAAAGCAGACGCAUCUGGACGUAGAAAAUGAAGACUCGUCAUAGACUACAGAAAAUUGAAUCAGAAGACUAUAGACGAUAAAUACACAAUACCUAAUAUCAAUGAUAUACUGGAUAAACUAGGACGAUGCCAAUAUUUCACAACGUUGCACCUCGCCAGUGGAUUCCACAAAAUCGAAAUGGAUCCUGAAAGCAUCCCGAAAACAGCAUUUAACAUAGAGCAUGGACAUUACAAAUAUACACGUAUGCCAUUUGGUCUUAAAAACGCACCCUCUACAUUUCAGCGCGCAAUGGACAAUGUAUUGCGUGGAUUACAAGGAAAAAUAUGUCUCGUGUAUAUGAUGACAUCAUUAUAUACUCGACCAGUCUUCAGGAACACAUGGACUCAUUAAAAUUAGUCUUUGAACGACUUGCAUCCUUCAAUAUGAAAAUACAAUUGGAUAAAUCUGAAUUCCUAAAGAAAACAGUCUAAUUCUUGGAGCCAUUAAAUAUUUUAAAAUUCCCAACACUCCUUAAGAAAUUAAAUCCUUCCUUGGUCUUGUCGGAUAUUACAGGAAAUUCAUAAAAAAAAUUGCUAAAAUUACUAAACCACUGACACAUUGCUUAAAGAAAAACGUUAAAAUAACCCAGGAUAAAGCGUUUAAUCUUUGUAAAAAAAUCUUAACUAAUGAUCCUAUACUCCAAUAUCCGGAUUUCAAUAAACCCUCCAUCUUAACCACAGACGCAAUCGGAGCAAUUCUUUCACAAGGAAACAUUGAAACUGAUCUACCGAUAGCAUACGCUAGCCGAACACUUAAUUCUGCAGAGCUUAACUACUCUACAAUAGAAAAAGAAGUUCUUGCCAUCAUGUGGGCCACAAAGUACUUUCGACCUUAUCAAUUUGGUAGAAAAUUCACUAUAGUAUCAUAAACCUUUACAAUGGCUCUUCUCCAUUAAAGAACCUAAUACAAAUGAGUCAGGUGGAACUAAAACUUCAGGAAUAUGAAUACACUAUUCAAUAUAAAAAAGGCAAACAGAAUGUCAACGCUGACGCCCUCUCACGACCAUCAAAAGAAAUACACCCCGUAGACCUAGUAAAACACCCACUAACACUUAUGUCAGCUGUAUGUGAAGAAGACGAGAAAAAAGAUGACCAAUAUUUAUGGCACGAAAAGAUUAAACAUUUCUUCGAAUCACAGGAAAACCUGUUUGAAAAAUCGCAAAAAGGUCUGAACGAGUUUGAAAAAUUUGAUCAAAAUUGGAAACCAAUCGAACACUCGGAGAUAAUUAAGGAAAUUCAAGCAAAUAUUUUUGAUCAACAAAAUUAUAAAAUAGAACAAGACAUUACUGUAGAUUUUAAACAAAAAUUUAACAACCUACAAUAUCUUACCGAUAAACUCUAAACCAGGAGAAAUAGCAACAUUAUUUGACAAUAAAAAUAAUCGUUUUAUUUAUUAUCUAGUCACUAAAGAAAAAUCUAACCAAAAACCAACCUCCUAUAUGCUUUGGAAAACCUUAAUUAAUACGAAAAACCAUGCAAGAGAGAAUCAUGUUACACGAAUAGCAAUCCCUAAACUAGGAUGUGGACUAGACCAAUUGGAUUGGCUAAAGGCAAAAUCAAUGAUUAAUCACCUAUUCCAAAAUCAAAAUAUUCAAAUAUUCGUAUGUCACUGUUCGAAAAAGAAACCCAAAAUUAAGAUAAUUUCGGAUAUUCAAAUAAGACCUCCAAAUACAGUUAAAAAGACAUUACAGCCCGAAAAACUAGAAGAACAAAAUAACCCAUCUACAAGUAAAGAAGGUCACGAAAAGGUAGAUAACUCUGAAAUGGACACGGUUCAUUCAUCUAGGGAAAAUCCAAUUAUAGGAGCUCCAUAUGUCAAUAAAGCCCUUAAUACCUUUAAAAAUGAAAUUCUAUUUAGAUGGACUGAUUUAACACAACCUCAUGCAAGAACAGACACUUACUGUUUACAUUUCCUUAGUAAGGAAAUGGAACUAAUAAUUAUAAGAACUUUCUAGGAAAGGUUUAAAAACAAUGCAUUUAAACUCCUCAUUUCUAACACGUUACUCGAAGAUGUUAAAGAUCAAAACGAACAGAAAGAAAUAAUAGAAAGAUAUCGCACUACAAAGACAUCACAUCGAGGAAUGACAGAAAACAAAAAAUAUUAAGCAAAAAUAUUAUUGGCCAAGCCUGGAAAGAGACGUAAUAAAUUUCGUUAAUACAUGCGAAAUAUGCCAAAAAACGAAGUAUGAUAGACAUCCUUAUAAAAUCGUUUACAAACUUAUACCAAUCGGAACUAAACCCUUAGAACAUAUUUAUAUGGAUAUAUACUCGAUAUUCAGGGCAAAAAUAUCUUACAAUAAUAGAUAACUUCUCUAAAUUUGCAGCAGCAUACCCAGUAAUGAAACUUCCCUCGAAAUAUGUCAUAGCUUAACUAAAUUCUUCUCCAAGUAAAAUUACUAUGAAUAACGCACAAGCUUUAAAAGUAACCUAGUACAAGACUUAUGUAAAACGUAUCGAAUCGAGUUACAUUUCACUACCCCGUAUAAUCCAAAUUCAAACUCACCAGUCGAAAGCUUCCAUUCAUCCCUUACAGAAAAUCUAGUCACUCUAAAAAAUGAACAUCGUACCAAAACGAUCCAAGAGCGAAUGGAUAUCGCAAUAUUAGUAAACAUUCUUCCCAUGAGUAUACUCCUUUCCAAAUUCUAAAAGGAAAUCUAAACCAUCAAUGAAAUUUUGAGAAAAACCUAAAUCAAUUGCAAACAGAUUAUGUGUAUGAACUUGCGCAAAUCUUUACGGAACUUAAUGAAAAAAUAAAUUUAAAACUUAAUGCAAAAAAGGCAAAUGUUUUAGCAAAACUAAAUCAAAAACGCGAAAAUGACCUCGAAAUACCCCAAGGUACUAAUCAAUUAAUAAAUACACCUCGGAAGUUUACACAAAAAUUACAACCUAAAUAUAAACUAAUUCAAUUUAAAAAUCAAAGACACCUAAAGAUGUUAAAAGACAUUUAUAAUUUUAGGUAAGAAUGAAGAUUGCCAUUCUCCUGCUGCCGCUAAUCGUAUAUACCCCAUACCAAUUAAUAAUAAAAUAUCCGUUAUAUACAAUCCCUAUCUUUUGAAAUCGACAGACGAUUUCUUUAACCUAAAGGAAAACUGCUAUAAAAUCACUCCAAUAACCUGCUUAAUAAAAACGAACCCUGUAUUCCGCAAACAAUUAAUUUAUCUAAUCAUUGUCCAAUGAUUCCUCAGCCUCAACUACCCAGUUAAAUGUAUUGUAGUUAUCCCAAAUUCCCAAGAAAAUAUAUAUUUUUAUUGCCCAAAUCAAAAGUGUUGAAAUAAUAAAUAAAGCAUCUUUAAUUCUGCCCGCAGAGUGUAAUGUUAAAAUUAAAAAUUAAAAAAAAUGUCUCAAAAAGGAGACAUAAUUAAUUUAAGACUAAAACCUCCGUCAAUAGUUUUUAAUGAAAAAUUGUUUCAUAAUAUCGAACCACUAAAGAGAAAUUAAUGUUGAAAAUAUAAAAGAAGAUAUGGAAAGUGCUCGAAACCUAGCAAAUCACCGUCCUAAAACCCUUAACUUUUGUAAACUCUAGUGUUUCAAUUACUGUAAUACCUACUAUUAUAAUUAUACUAAUAAUCUAUUUUAUUAUUACCUAAAAAUAAAAUAAAAUUUAAAGGUGGGCAUAGAACUAGAAACUAUUCGAAAAUGAACCCCGAUUUUCUCAAACUUUAGGAGGUAGGAGUUAUAUGGCCACUUUUGAUGAGUAUGUAAUAAGAAGAUAGUAAUAUGACACAUAUGUUUAUUCAGCUGCUUUAAUAAUAUAAAUACGCGCGCUAAUCUUUGGAUAAGACAGUCUUAAAGUCGCUUUGCAGUAGCAAUUAUUGUGUUACUUGUGUUUUAAAUAAAAAAUCAAAUUUUUUCUUUGUUUAAGUUAAUUUCUUGUAGAUGGAAACUUUAUUUAAAGACAGGAAGAUUGGUAGGCAUAUAAUCAAAAUCUGGAAAAUAAUACGUUAGAUUCUGGUAAUUUCUUUCUUGCAGUUCACAAUAGUUGUCUCGUCGAUUUUCAUUUGGCAUCCGGUUUGCAAGGUUAGAAACUAACUCCCUUCUAACUUCUGAUGCUCUUCUUGGUCUCUUGCUUUUAGGCAAAAUCAGUAGCCAUAUGUUGGAAUUAUCCAGUCAGUUUAUUAUUGGUCUGCUAACAGUGACGUAGAUUUCUUCGCAGGUAGUAGGUUUGGAUGAUUGCAGCAAGGAAUCUUCGUUCUAAGUUCUUUAACAUUUCCUUGCGGACAUAGGUACACUGACGUCGUCAUUUCUUUACAGGGACUUCUUCGAUAUAUAUAGUGUAAUUGAUUUAUGAUUAAAUAUUUAUUACGCCAUUUAGCAACCUUAAAGAGACUCUGAUGUUUAAGAGGGGCAGAAUACAAAUGAAAAUAUUCAAAUUCAUUUUGAUUUAUUGUUGAAAUAUGCAAUAGAUAAGUUAUCCUAUUAUUUAGAAUAAAGCUAUCGAUAGUAAUCAAUUUUUCAAAAUGUAUUAUGGUUUCCAAGCUAAUAGGCAAGGGCAUUUUAUUUUUUCUCAAUUGUUUAAGUU